RNAcentral lists this ribosomal RNA (774 nucleotides) under uncultured Neocallimastigales. RNAcentral describes it as "partial large subunit ribosomal RNA". It matches the Rfam family "Eukaryotic large subunit ribosomal RNA", at positions 24 to 647 of the family's 3401-position model. Lineage: Eukaryota; Fungi; Neocallimastigomycota; Neocallimastigomycetes; Neocallimastigales. The record is from RNAcentral.
GUAGUCUCGCACAGAUGCAUAUCAAUAAGCGGAGGAAAAGAAACUAACAAGGAUUCCCCUAGUAACGGCGAGUGAAGCGGGAAGAGCUCAAAUUUGAAAUCUUAAAGGGUUUCCCUUUACGAAUUGUAGUUUAAAGAAGUGUUUUCUGUUGAGGUUUUGGUAAAAGUUCUUUGGAAUAGGACAUCAUAGAGGGUGAGAAUCCCGUAUUUGACCUUUACUUUCAACUUUGUGAUACACUUUCAAAGAGUCGGAUUGUUUGGGAAUGCAGUCCAAAAUGGGUGGUAAAUUUCAUCUAAAGCUAAAUAUUGGCGAGAGACCGAUAGCGAACAAGUACCGUGAGGGAAAGAUGAAAAGAACUUUGAAAAGAGAGUUAAACAGUACGUGAAAUUGUCAAAAGGGAAGCGUUUGACACCAGUGUUGUUUUUCUGAAAAUCAAUUAAAGAACUGUUUAUGCUAAGUUGUUUAGACUUUAUCAGCUAUCUGCUUAGUUUUGAGCUUUUCUUUAAUGCACUUUUCAGUUAACAAGUCAACAUCAAUUUCUUUUGCUGUAAAAAAGCUUGAGGAAGGUGGCUUGAGAUUCGUCUUAAGUGUUUAUAGCCUCUUGCCUAUGCAGUCGGAGAGAUUGAGGUCUGCAGCGUAGAUCCUUCGGGGCUAAAUGCAUUUGUGCUAAGUUAUAGCAUUUUAUAGACAACUUGUUGACUAUGAUUUGUCUUGUAGCUUACUCGCUUAUGUUAUUUUACCUACGCUUAGGAUGUUGACGCAUGAGAUAUACGC